GCCCGGAUAGCUCAGUCAGGUAGAGCAUCAGACUUUUAAUCUGAUGGUCCAGGGUUUCAAGUCCCUGUCCGGGCG
Molecule: non-coding RNA, 75 nt
Organism: Xenopus laevis (African clawed frog)
Lineage: Eukaryota; Metazoa; Chordata; Amphibia; Anura; Pipidae
Source: the annotation of a RefSeq genome assembly